CUCAAAGGAAUUGACGGGGACCCGCACAAGCGGUGGAUGAUGUGGUUUAAUUCGAUGCAACGCGAAAAACCUUACCUACCCUUGACAUGUCUGGAAUUCCAUAGAGAUGUGGAAGUGCUCGAAAGAGAACCAGAACACAGGUGCUGCAUGGCCGUCGUCAGCUCGUGUCGUGAGAUGUUGGGUUAAGUCCCGCAACGAGCGCAACCCUUGUCAUUAGUUGCUACAUUUAGUUGGGCACUCUAAUGAGACUGCCGGUGACAAACCGGAGGAAGGUGGGGAUGACGUCAGGUCCUCAUGGCCCUUAUGGGUAGGGCUACACACGUCAUACAAUGGCCGGUACAGAGGGCUGCCAACCCGCGAGGGGGAGCUAAUCCCAGAAAACCGGUCGUAGUCCGGAUCGCAGUUUGCAACUCGACUGCGUGAAGUCGGAAUCGCUAGUAAUCGCGGAUCAGCUUGCCGCGGUGAAUACGUUCCCGGGUCUUGUACACACCGCCCAUCAC
RNAcentral lists this ribosomal RNA (500 nucleotides) under uncultured bacterium. RNAcentral describes it as "bacterial SSU rRNA". It matches the Rfam family "Bacterial small subunit ribosomal RNA", at positions 900 to 1400 of the family's 1533-position model. The record is from RNAcentral.